Molecule: long non-coding RNA, 429 nt
Filed under: Gallus gallus (chicken)
Lineage: Eukaryota; Metazoa; Chordata; Aves; Galliformes; Phasianidae
Source: RNAcentral
GCCAAUCUCCCUGCCUGCUAUUUUUGAUAGAAGCACAGGACAUUGCCCAUGCAGAACGCAAAAGAGGCAUGCAGUACAAACAUGGAAAAUAGCUAUUUUAGACUUCAGACAAGUUAAAACUAAGACCUAUUCAGCAUGAGACGUAGCUGUUCAGAUUCAUCCCUCUGACAGGAAAAAAAGAAAAGGUUACCUCAUUUCAUUGCUCCAAAUUGCUUCUGGAGUGUCAAAUUCCCCAAGGAAUAUCUCUGAAAAUUUUUCUGGCUCAUAAUUUUCCAAGUAACACACCAUUGCUUCAGGAAGAACAUGUCCAAGUAUACUUCUUUGAACUAUAUCUUGACUUUUAGUUUCUUCAGACUUGAAGGCUUGCUUUGUAUGUGCAUAUUUCAGAAACCUUGCAAUAGGAAGUACAUUGGAACCCGUGUACAUCAU